Molecule: ribosomal RNA, 774 nt
Filed under: Enterobacter sp. J54C26
Lineage: Bacteria; Pseudomonadati; Pseudomonadota; Gammaproteobacteria; Enterobacterales; Enterobacteriaceae
Description: bacterial SSU rRNA
Rfam family: Bacterial small subunit ribosomal RNA
Source: RNAcentral
AGAGUUUGAUCCUGGCUCAGAUUGAACGCUGGCGGCAGGCCUAACACAUGCAGGUCGAACGGUAACAGAAAGUAGCUUGCUACUUUGCUGACGAGUGGCGGACGGGUGAGUAAUGUCUGGGAAACUGCCUGAUGGAGGGGGGUAACUACUGGAAACGGUAGCUAAUACCGCAUAACGUCGCAAGACCAAAGAGGGGGACCUUCGGGCCUCUUGCCAUCAGAUGUGCCCAGAUGGGAUUAGCUAGUAGGUGGGGUAACGGCUCACCUAGGCGACGAUCCCUAGCUGGUCUGAGAGGAUGACCAGCCACACUGGAACUGAGACACGGUCCAGACUCCUACGGGAGGCAGCAAUGGGGAAUAUUGCACAAUGGGCGCAAGCCUGAUGCAGCCAUGCCGCGUGUAUGAAGAAGGCCUUCGGGUUGUAAAGUACUUUCAGCGGGGAGGAAGGCGGUGAGGUUAAUAACCUCACCGAUUGACGUUACCCGCAGAAGAAGCACCGGCUAACUCCGUGCCAGCAGCCGCGGUAAUACGGAGGGUGCAAGCGUUAAUCGGAAUUACUGGGCGUAAAGCGCACGCAGGCGGUCUGUCAAGUCGGAUGUGAAAUCCCCGGGCUCAACCUGGGAACUGCAUUCGAAACUGGCAGGCUAGAGUCUUGUAGAGGGGGGUAGAAUUCCAGGUGUAGCGGCGAAAUGCGUAGAGAUCUGGAGGAAUACCGGUGGCGAAGGCGGCCCCCUGGACAAAGACUGACGCUCAGGUGCGAAAGCGUGGGGAGCAA